UCCUGACCUCAAGUGAUUUGCCUGCCUUGGCCUUCCAAAGUGCUGGGAUUACAGGCGUGAGCCGCCGUGCCCAGCCCCAGACAUUGUUUUUAAGGAAAGCGGCUGUUACUGAGGUAUCCCUAUUCCUGGAGAGCAUCCACGGGGAAAGGAAAUGCUGAGCUAGGAUCAGGCUGGGGAAAGAGGCUGCAGCAUUUCCGUCCCCUUGCCAGGCUCAGCACAGCUGGGGCUGCUGACUGUGGACACACGCAGGAAAAGCCCUCGGCUUUGUCCCUGCCGCCUCCUAAAGCAACGAGCACGCUGACCACCACCCCAGAACACGUCUGAGGAAGCACCUGGAACCACGUGAAAAAAUAUGUCCUCAGAGUGACAUGACCAUUUAGAGGAAACAUAACUUAGUCCACUGAAAAAUCAGAAGAAGAAAAACAAAAAGGAGAACUUAGGCCCAAAGAAGAUGAGAAGUUUUAAAGCCUGUUAUCUUUGUUCCUUUUCUGUCCUUGGCCCUUACUCCAGAUCGCCUGGCAUGCAGCCAUGCUUCCUGCGGGGUCGGCAGCCCCUGCAGGCACCCACCUUCAGGAUCAUGUCCUCCACCACGGAUGCAUACACGUUCUUGUGGAGCGCCACGGGCUGCAGUGUGAUCCCAAUCUGGAAAAGCAGAAGAAAGCCAUUUGUUCGUAUCACUACUUUAAAAACAGCCUAUCUCUGAAGACGCACACCUCUCAGACACCCAGAGAUGCCUGGUUGGAAGGUGGACUUGAUAAACACGCUGGGCAAGAUUCACAGGAGAGUAACACAGAAUAUGACAACUAGAAGAAUAUGUUACCUCGUUUUUCUACAUUUCUGACCAACUGUUUAAAAUGCUACUGUGAUCCUAUUUAACUCUCAAAUCUCCUUCAUGGGAGAACAUGGUUGGGAUCUGCCUUGAGUUCUGCUAAGCGACCAACGCUCUGGAAGUUCUGGAAUCAGACUCCACUUCCUGUUUGCACUUGGACACAGCAUCCUGCCCAUUUUUCAUGGCAUCCAGUGAAAGCGCACUCUUCGGCCUUGGGCCCUGAGCACGGACAGAUGCCGACGAGCUAUGAGGCCCCAGCAGGGCAAUAAACACCUCUCCCCUGUGUGAUAAGGUAGGGGCACUCAGGACCCAGACACACAGCGGGGGAGGACUGCUCGCUGAAGCGCAAUUCAGAAAUGCCUCGUGAAGGCAAGGUGCUUCUCCUGAGGCAGAUGAGAAACAAGAUGAAACAGAGCCAACUGUUCAUAUCCAGCCAGCUGUGCCUCAAGUCUGCGUUCAGCAAGCAACCUUUUCACGUGCCAUCAGUGUUCCUGCCCCAGGGCGCUGAUGCAGGAAGCGGGGAGCCCAGAGAGCAACCUGGGUCAACCAGGCAGAACCUCUGAACAUCUGGGUGUGGGUCUGAGAGGCUGAACGUCCGGGUCUGGUUGCUGAGAGGCAGAAUGUCUGAGUCUGGUCUGGAAGAGUCUAAAUGCACAU
Long non-coding RNA from Sapajus apella (tufted capuchin), 1486 nucleotides. RefSeq lists it as uncharacterized. The transcript is spliced from 3 exons. The record is from RefSeq and is a predicted model, not a curated record. NCBI's taxonomy places the organism in Eukaryota, Metazoa, Chordata, Mammalia, Primates, Cebidae.